Non-coding RNA from Anas platyrhynchos (mallard), 88 nucleotides. The record is from Rfam. Lineage: Eukaryota; Metazoa; Chordata; Aves; Anseriformes; Anatidae.
UAUGCUCUGCUCUGGCUGGUCAAACGGAACCAAGCCCGUCUUCCUCGGAGGUUUGGUCCCCUUCAACCAGCUAUAGCAGUGUUGAAAA